RNAcentral lists this ribosomal RNA (1827 nucleotides) under Triticum aestivum (bread wheat). RNAcentral describes it as "partial small subunit ribosomal RNA". Lineage: Eukaryota; Viridiplantae; Streptophyta; Magnoliopsida; Poales; Poaceae. The record is from RNAcentral.
AUGCCCUCGGUGCUUCGUCAGGAGGACCUCGACGACAUGGUCGAGGGAGGAGUCAUCCUCCACAAGGCGGCGUGUCUUCCAGGGGGAGAGAUCGAGCCCCAGCCACGCGACGGUGAGCGCGUCCUCCUGGCGACUCAUAUUGACCGUGGUUUCUCUUUGCCGCCCCACUCUUUUUUCCGCAAUUUCCUGAACUUCUUUGGGGCGCAGCUCCAUCACUUCACUCCGAACUCCAUAGUCUAUCUUGCCGCUUUUAUUUCUAUGUGUGAGGCGUUCCUGGGGUGCCGCCCACACUGGGGACUUUUUAAGCAUAUCUUCACCGUUCGCUCUCAGUCGGUGAAAAAGGCUAAGUCGAGUGACGAGAGGACACAGGUGAUCCAGCUGUGCGGGGGCUUGGCGAUCCAGACAAGGGGGAAAAGUUGUUUUCCCUCCAUCACCUUCCCGGAGUCAGUUCGAGGAUGGCAGGCGACUUGGUUCUACUGCCAGGAUCAAGUGACCCCAGGGCAGUCGACUGGACUUCCACCCUUCACCCUCGAUCGAGCCGAGAAGCCGGCUUCUCUGAAGGUGACGCCCGAAGAAAAGGCCCAGGUCAAGAUACUGGCGGGUCGAGUGGUCGAACUUGUCCGUGAGGGCGUAACGGGGAUGGACCUGCUCGAAGUCUUCCUCAGGAGGAGAAUCCAACCACUCCAGGCUCGGGAUCACCCGAUGUGGUUGUACUCCGGCCUCGAGGACUCCACUCGGGUCCACCCAGAGGAGGUCACCGACGAGAUGUUGGAGGGGUGGCUGUCAAGCAUUACAGGGAACAAAGACAACCCCCGGGGAGCUAGGAGGGUCGUUCCACUCGACAGCUCAUAUGAGGUCGACCAGGCGACUACUGAGAUGUAUUCGACGCCCAACGGGGCACAGGGGUCGACUGAGGAAGGGGAAGGGAGCGGAGGUGAGAGCGGGGACGACCAGGGCGAGUGGGAGUCUGACGGCGAGGGAGAGGGAGGCGAUGACAUCUUCUCCAGCGAGGAGGAGGAGGAGGAGGAGGAGGCCGAACCCUCCCGCCCUGAAAGGCGAUCUAAGCUCGCACACGACCCGGCGCAGGGACGUGGUCAGGCGACUGCCCCCUCCGGGCCAUCGUUGAAACGCCCUCGGACCUCUUCACCAACACCGACUAGGAAGGUUCCCAAGCAACCACGCACGACGCAGUCUAAGCCGCCCAAGACCCUGCCGAAGAUGAAGAUAACUGUCCCUGUCAUCUCCAGUGCUGCUACCUCCGAGGUCUCGGCCAAGGACGACGACCAAGAGAUGGGGGACGCUGCAACCUCCAACCCUGCUCCUCAUGUUAUCGACCUCCCGGAUGACGAUGACAACGAGCCGCUGAGGAUAGGGAGGACCAAGAGGCCGUCGACUGACAGGGCUCCCCAGCCUGCUCCGGUGCCUGAGGCCGCGGCUCGGGAAGGCGGCGAUGCCCCUCGGGCUUCUGUGUCCUUCGCCAAUCCCCUGUCGAGUGCGCAGCCCUCGGCAUCGACUGUCAAUCCGACUGCUAAUCCUCUGUCGAGUGCGCAGCCCUCGGCGUCGACUGCCAACCUGACUUCACUCUUUGUCGCGUACCCUGCUCCUGAAGACGAAGUGGCCGCCGCGAAGGAGGCCAUACACCAAGCAGGGGUCAUGAUGGAGCAGGUGAAGAAGGCCCGGGAGGCCAGCCAGGCGGCUUACGAUGCGAGUUCGGUGCUUCAGAGUAACGUUCAGAGAUCCUGCGAACUUGUCGCUCGUUAUGCUGAAUUGGAGAAGCAGAAGAUUCAACUGGACCUUGAUCUAGAGCUGGCCAGGACGGAGUUGUAG